CCCGCAACGACGCGACACCUUGUGUUAGUUGCAAACAGGUCAAGCUGUGCACUCUAGACAGACUGCCGUGGACAACACGGAGGAAGUGGGGAUGACGUCAAAUCAUCAUGCCCCUUAUGAUCUGGGCUACACACGUGCUACAAUGGCCGGUACAACGGGCAGCGAAGGAGCGAUCCGGAGCGAAUCCUAAAAAGCCGGUCCCAGUUCGGAUUGCAGGCUGAAACUCGCCUACAUGAAGUUGGAGUUGCUAGUAAUCGCGAAUCAGAAUGUCGCGGUGAAUGCGUUCCCGGGUCUU
Molecule: ribosomal RNA, 295 nt
Filed under: uncultured Fusibacter sp.
Lineage: Bacteria; Bacillati; Bacillota; Clostridia; Eubacteriales; Fusibacteraceae
Description: partial 16S ribosomal RNA
Rfam family: Bacterial small subunit ribosomal RNA
Source: RNAcentral